UGAGUGUUUGCUUGUGUGUGUUUGGGUUGCGUGUGUGUUAUCCUAUUUUAUUUUUUACGGCAGGAGACCUUUUAUGUUAGCCUGUACACAAUUUCAGGGUAGCCUAAAACAGUAGUUGACGCGCUAGUUAUUUAGAAAGUAAAGAAAUGAGCAGUCCCCUUUGGAGACAGGAGUAAUUUAUUUUAAUUCGCCAGUAAGAGAUUAUAUUUGUUCCAUACAAUGGAAGCGCCUGUGCGUUAUCUGCCUGCCCACACCACCACCAAUCAGAGAGAUAAAUCUCCACGUUAAGCUUUAUUAAAAUUCUGAGUAGUAGCGCAGCACAGUAAAUGUUAGCACCGACCAUCCGCAG
RNAcentral lists this long non-coding RNA (349 nucleotides) under Homo sapiens (human). RNAcentral's name for it is "HSALNT0273575". The record is from RNAcentral. Lineage: Eukaryota; Metazoa; Chordata; Mammalia; Primates; Hominidae.